CCGGACGGGUGAGUAAUGUCUGGGAAACUGCCCGAUGGAGGGGGAUAACUACUGGAAACGGUAGCUAAUACCGCAUAACGUCGCAAGACCAAGAGGGGACCUUCGGGCCUCUUGCCAUCGGAUGUGCCCAGAUGGGAUUAGCUAGUAGGUGGGGUAACGGCUCACCUAGGCGACGAUCCCUAGCUGGUCUGAGAGGAUGACCAGCCACACUGGAACUGAGACACGGUCCAG
This 231-nucleotide ribosomal RNA is filed under the name uncultured bacterium. RNAcentral describes it as "partial 16S ribosomal RNA". It matches the Rfam family "Bacterial small subunit ribosomal RNA", at positions 98 to 334 of the family's 1533-position model. The record is from RNAcentral.